This 317-nucleotide unclassified non-coding RNA is filed under the name Hevea brasiliensis (rubber tree). The record is from RNAcentral. Lineage: Eukaryota; Viridiplantae; Streptophyta; Magnoliopsida; Malpighiales; Euphorbiaceae.
GAUUAUUAGGUCAAGGCAACUUUGCUAAGGUUUAUUACGGAAGGAAUCUUGAAACGGGACAGAGUGUAGCUGUUAAGGUAAUUGACAAAGAGAAGGUUAUUAAGGCCGGACUGAUUGAACAGACGAAGAGAGAGAUAUCUGUUAUGGCACUAGUUGAACAUCCAAAUGUUCUACAGCUAUACGAGGUCAUGGCAACUAAAUCUAAGAUUUAUUUAGUCAUUGAACAUGCCAAAGGCGGUGAGCUUUUCAAAAAGUUGACAAAGGGGAGGCUCAAGGAAAAAUUAGCUAGGAAGUACUUUCAGCAAUUGAUUAGCGCU